GUGCUGCAAGGAGGAAGGGACAGGAGGUUGUGCAAGGGACAGACAGGGAUAGGUGGCUGUGCUAGGGACAGGAAGGUGUGAGCUGGAACUGCAGAAGGAAGAGAGAAUGAGAUGAAAGGCCAGAGCCACAUGGAGCUGCCUAUAGGAGGCUACAUAGAAAAGGAUGAGGUGCAGUGGAGACAGAGCCCAGCAAAGCUGAGAGCAGCAGGUGAAGCUGCCAGUCCAGACUUGCUUUUGACACCUGGAGUACAGGUUAAAUUUUUGGCCAGUUUAACUUCUGAACUACCUCAACUACCAGAGCCAUUGCAAAGGAUGGGACAGGACAGCAUUGCUGUGGGCCUGGGAGAGGAACAGGAUGAGUGAAAUUUGGAAAUAAUCCAGCAUACAGCUCAGUGCUUUCAAGACCUCAAGAAAUCUUUUAUAUUAAGAGGAAUACAUUUAGAAGAGUUUCUACAUUUGUUAAAAGUUCAGCAGUUUGUCUCCCAGCUUAAUAGAAAAGAAGGUAAAAAAAACCUCAGAAGAGUUCAAGAAGGCAAGGACAGAGGUAGAGAGAUGGCAGAGCAAAAUCUGGCAUAGGAAAAAGUCAGUCAAGGAGAAAGUAUGAUUUACAGGGUCACCUCCAAAUGACUUCCACCCCCUUCACAAGGCUGAAAGGAAACUCUGCAUCUAGUCCUAAGGAUUUUUUUCCCCAACUUGAUUCCAGGAUUACAGAAUAUAACUGUAAGAAAAAGCAUUUCUGAAAUUAUAGAAAUUUUAUAUUCACACUCAAAAUGUCAAACCAUAAAGACUUAAUAUUUAUUUAAUAAUAAUAAUUUGCAUUCUAAUGUUCUGUAAACAAAAAUAAUAAAGUGCUAAACUUGAACUAGACAUUAGACUAAGUAUUCAACCAAAAUUGUACUUACGUGUGAAUUUGGAACGCCGUCCGCCCAAGCCACACUGGCGUAUUUUGCCGCCCCGAAAGAGUCCGUAGUAAAUUUCUCCAAUGAACUUAACCAGCUCUGGGUCUGUGGCAUUGACCAAAUCAGCCCCUGUUUUGCAAAGGAUCUUUCCAGUCAUCCACUUUGGGGUCCCCAUUGCAACAACAAUCAAGAUAAAAGACACAAAACUUAUUAGAGAAGCCAAGGCAAAUAUUGUCUUUUUAAAGCAGCCAGGCAUCCUAGUGCUUUCAAGGGAUCAUCUUCAAGCUCUCUCUGCAGUAGUCAAACAUAUGUCCCAUUUUUCACCAUGUUCCAAAAUUCACAGUUGAAUACCAGGCAUUUCAAAAUACUUCUCUUUGUAUUUCGAAGGUCCAGCAAUUAAUCUGUAUGGUUAAAAAUCAAGGCGAAAAAUACAUUUUGGUGCAACAACAUCCUGAAAUUGUUGCAAGGAACGGCUUCGUUAUAUUGUAGUGCAGUGAUACUUCUUUUUGCAGCAAGUAAUCCUAUCUAUGUGGCCUGUCUAAUAUUUCCUCGGGGGUUUAAUUGUCCUGCUCAAAUGACAUCAAGUUUUUUACUGCAACUUCGUGAAGAUUGGAGAAGAAUCCAGUUUCUUAGAUUAUUUUAAAAAGUGGGUAAAUAUCUGUGUGCAAGGGAGAGAGCAUUAAAACAACAUCAUUUGGCUGAAGGAUUCUGCUGUCGCCUCAGCCGUGCUGAGCUUCCCGGCGCUUGCUCCCACCCAGCCUCUAAAUGUCACUGCAGGCAGAGUUAUCUGAGGGACAGAAAUGACGGCUCUGGAAUAUUCUGGAUUACAACGGGGCGCACGAAGCCCCUCGCAGCCGGGCUGGCCCGGCCAGCCGUGCCGUACCCCGGGGCACUCAGGAGGUGUAACACAAGCGACAGGUGCUAUGCCAUGAGCGCUAAAGAAAACCGGCCGUCAUUGCCUGCACUUCUACGAUUACUGCUACCCGAGCCCUGAGAGGACCUUCAGAACCACUAAUUAAUUAAUUAACUAGCAGUAGCAGGAGCCCUGGGGACUGGUAACACGGCCCCUUGCCGUGUCUCGGCCGAGGCAUCGGGCCUCCUCCUCCCUCACCUCUCCCGGCUCUGCACCCCACGGCGGGCAGC
Hirundo rustica (Barn swallow) is the source of this 2042-nucleotide long non-coding RNA. RefSeq lists it as uncharacterized. Lineage: Eukaryota; Metazoa; Chordata; Aves; Passeriformes; Hirundinidae. The record is from RefSeq and is a predicted model, not a curated record. The transcript is spliced from 5 exons.